CACGUAGGGGGCAAGCGUUGUCCGGAUUUAUUGGGCGUAAAGAGCUCGUAGGCGGUUCGGUAAGUCGGGUGUGAAACCUCCAGGCUCAACCUGGAGACGCCACCUGAUACUGCUGUGACUCGAGUCCGGUAGGGGAGCGUGGAAUUCCUGGUGUAGCGGUGAAAUGCGCAGAUAUCAGGAGGAACACCAAUGGCGAAGGCAGAUCUCUGGGCCGUAACUGACGCUGAGGAGCGAUAGCAUGGGGAGCGAACAGG
RNAcentral lists this ribosomal RNA (254 nucleotides) under uncultured bacterium. Its description in RNAcentral is "partial 16S ribosomal RNA". It matches the Rfam family "Bacterial small subunit ribosomal RNA", at positions 524 to 776 of the family's 1533-position model. The record is from RNAcentral.